Molecule: ribosomal RNA, 487 nt
Filed under: uncultured bacterium
Lineage: Bacteria
Description: bacterial SSU rRNA
Rfam family: Bacterial small subunit ribosomal RNA
Source: RNAcentral
GACGAACGCUGGCGGCGUGGAUUAGGCAUGCAAGUCGAACGGUAUCAUCCUUUCGGGGUUUAGAGAGUGGCGAACGGGUGAGUAACACGUAGGUAAUCUACCCUCAAAACGGGGACAACCCAGGGAAACUUGGGCUAAUACCGGAUGUGAGCAACUUUUAGUUGUUUGAAAGGUGGCGUAAGCUGUCGCUUGGGGAUGAGCCUGCGUCCUAUUAGUUAGUUGGUGAGGUAACGGCUCACCUAGGCAAUGAUAGGUAGGCGGCCUUAACGGGUGGUCGCCCACACUGGGAUUGAGAUACGGCCCAGACUCCUACGGGAGGCAGCAGUCGAGAAUAGUCUACAAUGGUCGGAAGACUGACAGUGCGACGCCGCGUGAACGAUGAAUCCCUUCGGGGUGUAAAGUUCUUUUAUAUGUGAGCAGUGCUUCUUAUAUUAACAGUAUGGGGAGAGAGAUAUUAGCAUAUGAAUAAGCACCGGCUAACUCCGUG